GCGCGCAGCCCCGGUUCCGGCCCGCGCCUCUCCCUCCACACCUCCCCACAAGCUGAGGGAGCCGGCUGCGGCCUUCGCCAGCCCAGAAAGGGGCUCCUACAGUGCAGUGGCGGGCUGAAGGGCUGCUCAAGCGCCGCCAAAGUGGGAGCCCAGGCAGAGGAGGCGCCCAGAGCGAGCGAGGGCUGUGAGGACUGCCAGCACGCUGUCACCUCUCACUCAUAUAGAUUGCCAAUCUAUUUGUGAACCAGGUUUGCUGGAGUUUGGAUUUACUACUGAGUCAUAUUUGGAGCAUGCUGGAAUCUUACAACUGAGAUUACCGAGUCAGAAACUAGUUUGACUGUUCUCGUCGGCAUGGUUGAGACAUUAUCCCUGGCAGAAGGCUGGACUGGCAUGGACAUCAUUUGAUGAGUUCGUCUCCUCUUAACAAUCAAAGCCUGUUUUCCAGUGCGAAUAAACUGUUGCCUUAUAUAUUGUUUUCCCAUUUUUAUAGUUGUUUACUGCAAAAAAGAGUCUGGUACAAGUUACUUUGCUAAAACCUUGAUAAAGUUUUAUUCUACGAUUCUUCAAUCAAUGUUUCUGUUUUGUUUAUUCUGUUAUCUCUGUUGUGUCAUACCAUAAUUCUCUCAUUAAUAGCUCAUAUUCUUUUUCAUAGCUAUUCAAUUCUUUAGCAGUUUCUACUUUUAUGUUUGGGAGAAAAUUGAAAGCUUGAUUUCUUAUUUUGACAAGUUUUCUAAAGGUUUCAGCAUGCAAUAUUUUUUUUCAUAGCCUUACAGUUUGUAAUAGUUCAUCUGAUUGUAAAGCUCUUACAAUCUUUCCUGAUUUUAAGUCAUUUUAACAACGACUUUCUCUCUUUUUUAUUUUUAAGAAACAAUGUCCUCCUUUUCAUUUGUUGAGAACUCUACUCAGCUUUUAAAAAACUUCCUGUGUAUGUACCUUAAUUCUUUUGACAAUAAAACAUUACUCUGAAUAUUCAAA
RNAcentral lists this long non-coding RNA (975 nucleotides) under Homo sapiens (human). Its description in RNAcentral is "HSALNT0350402". Lineage: Eukaryota; Metazoa; Chordata; Mammalia; Primates; Hominidae. The record is from RNAcentral.